RNAcentral lists this ribosomal RNA (609 nucleotides) under uncultured bacterium. RNAcentral describes it as "bacterial SSU rRNA". It matches the Rfam family "Bacterial small subunit ribosomal RNA", at positions 1 to 610 of the family's 1533-position model. The record is from RNAcentral.
ACAGAGUUUGAUCCUGGCUCAGAUUGAACGCUGGCGGCAUGCUUUACACAUGCAAGUCGAACGGUAACAGGGAGCUUGCUCCGCUGACGAGUGGCGAACGGGUGAGUAAUAUAUCGGAACGUACCCAAGAGUGGGGGAUAACGUAGCGAAAGUUACGCUAAUACCGCAUACGAUCUAUGGAUGAAAGUGGGGGAUCGCAAGACCUCAUGCUCCUGGAGCGGCCGAUAUCUGAUUAGCUAGUUGGUGAGGUAAAGGCUCACCAAGGCGACGAUCAGUAGCUGGUCUGAGAGGACGACCAGCCACACUGGAACUGAGACACGGUCCAGACUCCUACGGGAGGCAGCAGUGGGGAAUUUUGGACAAUGGGCGCAAGCCUGAUCCAGCAAUGCCGCGUGAGUGAAGAAGGCCUUCGGGUUGUAAAGCUCUUUUGUCAGGGAAGAAACGGUGGAGGCUAAUAUCCUUUGCUAAUGACGGUACCUGAAGAAUAAGCACCGGCUAACUACGUGCCAGCAGCCGCGGUAAUACGUAGGGUGCAAGCGUUAAUCGGAAUUACUGGGCGUAAAGCGUGCGCAGGCGGUUUUGUAAGUCUGUCGUGAAAUCCCCGGGCCC